Drosophila pseudoobscura is the source of this 2536-nucleotide long non-coding RNA. RefSeq lists it as uncharacterized. NCBI's taxonomy places the organism in Eukaryota, Metazoa, Arthropoda, Insecta, Diptera, Drosophilidae. The record is from RefSeq and is a predicted model, not a curated record. The transcript has 2 exons.
GUUAUUUCCAUAUUAAACUAGGCAACAAAGUCUAACUUUUUAUUUACUCAAGGAACCAAAAAACUUUUCUGAUAGUUUAAAAGUUUUAAACAUUUUUAAUGCUUUAGUAAUUUUUUCCAAAAAAUGUUUUUUUAACUAUUUAGAUUGCGGUAUUUUUUUUUUUAACUUUGACUUAAGAAACUUAGGAAUUUCUUGUGCUUUUAUAUUUUAUUUGUACAGGUGCGUUGAACUUUGUGUUUAAUCUUCGAACCAAACCGAAAUCUGAUGGAUUUUGAGCUUUAAAAUGUUUAAUGAAUUAAAGUUUUUUAGAUGGUGUUUUUUUUUUACAUUGUUAAAAUUAAAAUUUUGUUUUGUGGUUGUGCCUUAUCUUUUUAUAUAGCCAGAUGCUAUAUACAAGAGGCUGUAUAGGUACUUAAUUACUUGAUUGUACUUAGGUUAUUUGAAUACCACAAAACAUCUGAACAAAAAGUUAGAAAACCAGCUUACAAAUUUAAACAACCCACACCUAUAACCAAAAUUCAUUUAACAUUUUAAAAGCCCAACAUUUAUCGGAAAUAUUCGGUUUGGCUUGAAGCGUAUAUAUAGUGUUGCACGAUUAUAUGCGUUAAAGGUAUCGGUUUAAAAAAUUUGGAUGUACGGAUAAGGUGCAGAAUCUACGCAUUAAUUAUAUGGACGUUGCUUGUGAGUAUUGUGGUGCAUUAAAGUUUACGAGUUUACUCGCAAACGGUAGCGGUAGUCACGUGCGUAACACGUGCCGUAAAACAUCGUUUCGGACUGCAAGGUGGAACGGAAUAUUGCGUGUUUCCGUGUUGGACAACCAAACAAAUUUUAUACCUAUAAGUUUUCGAAAAUUAAACGUAUAUAAAAGGUUUGCUUUGUUUUGUUUCUCAUUUCUUAUCCGUGCAUACACAAUGUGGCGAGUUCGCUUAUAUAAAAAUUAAACCCAUUUUGUUUGGCUUUUCUUAAAAAUUUCCAAAAAAAUAUCGCUUAAAAUUUUAAAUUUUGCAUUUGAAAGCUUAAUGUUUCACAGACUAUAAGCUGAAGUUCCAAACUAUGCAGUUCAAAUGUCAGCUUUUCGGAAUUGCAAAGUUAAUUACAACCAGAUGUCAUAUAAUUAUGCUAUGUGAAAAGAAAGAGGUAGUAGCUCUUAUAAAACCAAAUUCAUUAAACAUUUUUAAAGCCCCUAAUCAACUAGAAAAAAGUUGGCUUAGUUACUAAAGUGGUAACCUUUCGUGCUAACCAAUUUUCUAAAUACCUAUAUAUAUAUAUGUUUCGGAUUAUCCGACUGAUACAAUUAAAAAUUUAAGAAAUCGAAUGGUUGGUUUUAAGCCUUAAAGUCUAGUUUCAAAAGAUUCAUUAAGAAAUCUCAAAUAAAUUAAAAAAAUACUUUGGUACUUCAGUUUUAUCUGCAUAUAAUUUUUUUUGUUCUUUGCGCUUACCGCCCUUACAAAUUGAAAAUACAGUAUAAUAAUAAUAAAUGAUCUUAUCUACUAGACCUUGAGAUCGGAGUACUUGAGUGUGUUUCAAGCAGAUGUUGUAGCAAUCAGAUAAUCCAUUCCCAUUGUCUUCGAACCUACCUCUAUAUAGGCUCAAGUAGCGAUUAAGUAAACAUCUCUAACCAAGAUCACAGACAAGUUCGGUCUUUGCCUAAUAUGGGUGCUCGGACACAGUUACAUUGAUAAGAGUUGUCCCGCAGACGAACUAGCAAGGCAGGCACGAAACUCAUUUCUCACGUAUGAAAUAUUAGAGAUAUACAUAAAUAUGCGAUAGUGGAAACUGAACAAAGAAACUAUUGGCAAUGUUAUACCGACUCAGCAGACUCUGAUGAAGUUGUCGGGCCGAGGAAGAAGAGGUUUCAGUUCCCACUUCUUCACCCACUGUUCUGACCUCGAAUACCGCAGACUUCGAUUUAAAUUUUCUGAGUGGCUUUUAUUUAUUUGUUAUUUAAUCUAACAAUAACUUUAUCAAAGGUUAUAAACCGGGUUGCCACAGAAAACUCUAGACUUUUUUACUCUAGUGGUUUGCCAAAUCCCCCGAAAAAUCCCGAUCUGAGGAGGCUUUAUUGUUCGGACAAUUCUCGGAACUCACGCGCAACAAUAAGAAUGGUUUUUAAAAAAAUUAGACGAGCGAAAAUAGUCAAAUCAAGAAUUAUAUUCCUGUGGAAACGAUUAGAAUUCACCCUUGUUUUAUGGUCGUACUGCUGUUUUCAGCCAAAACGUUUCGUUUUCGUUUUAAGGUGCUCGAUAUGUUUCAUUUUUCAUCGUUUCUGGCAAACAAAAACAGCUGACCUAGCUGCUUUUGUAAAAAUACAGCGUGAUUAAAAUGUCUUUUAUUUUUGCUUGCAAAACGACUGCAGAAAUGACGUGAUCUAAGAAGACCUAGACAUCUUAGAUGCAACAUUUGCGUAUCUAACAUGUCUGACGAGCUGUGAGUAACAGCAUGCAAAUUGAAAAUUAAAUUGCCAAUGAUCAAGAUUUCAGAUUUGUGAAGUCAUUUCGGUAAUUUUAGAAUACAAAAUUAAUUUUCUGCACUUACA